AUUGAACGCUGGCGGCAUGCCUUACACAUGCAAGUCGAACGGCAGCACGGGAGCAAUCCUGGUGGCGAGUGGCGAACGGGUGAGUAAAGUAUCGGAACGUGCCCAGUCGUGGGGGAUCACGUAGCGAAAGUUACGCUAAUACCGCAUACGAUCUAUGGAUGAAAGCGGGGGAGCGCAAGACCUCGCGCGAUUGGAGCGGCCGAUAUCAGAUUAGGUAGUUGGUGGGGUAAAGUCUCACCAAGCCGACGAUCUGUAGCUGGUCUGAGAGGAUGACCAGCCACACUGGAACUGAGACACGGUCCAGACUCCUACGGGAGGCAGCAGUGGGGAAUAUUGCACAAUGGGCGCAAGCCUGAUGCAGCCAUGCCGCGUGUAUGAAGAAGGCCUUCGGGUUGUAAAGUACUUUCAGCGGGGAGGAAGGCGAUGUGGUUAAUAACCGCGUCGAUUGACGUUACCCGCAGAAGAAGCACCGGCUAACUCCGUGCCAGCCGCCGCAGUAA
This 500-nucleotide ribosomal RNA is filed under the name uncultured bacterium. RNAcentral describes it as "partial 16S ribosomal RNA". It matches the Rfam family "Bacterial small subunit ribosomal RNA", at positions 30 to 523 of the family's 1533-position model. The record is from RNAcentral.